AAAGACAUGAAAAAUCUAAGGUAUUAAAGAACAAUGUAAAAUUACUUAAACUCUUCACUAAAGAGCCGUUUAAUGUUGUUAAUGCCGUUUAUUUUUAAAAAAAAUUAUAUAUAAAAAAAUUAUAUAUAUAUAUAUAUAGUCAGGGUUUACCUUACCAAAAUAUUUAUAUAUAGUCAGAGUUGGUUCGGGUUAGAUUGACUCGGAACUCUUAGGACCGAAGACCGACUCACACAGUGCUGGUCUAGGAAU
Molecule: long non-coding RNA, 249 nt
Filed under: Eucalyptus grandis
Lineage: Eukaryota; Viridiplantae; Streptophyta; Magnoliopsida; Myrtales; Myrtaceae
Description: long non-coding RNA (EGRA_LNC004165)
Source: RNAcentral